Sander lucioperca (pikeperch) is the source of this 370-nucleotide long non-coding RNA. RefSeq lists it as uncharacterized. The record is from RefSeq and is a predicted model, not a curated record. NCBI's taxonomy places the organism in Eukaryota, Metazoa, Chordata, Actinopteri, Perciformes, Percidae. The transcript is spliced from 2 exons.
CUCUAUCUGACUGCUUGAAUUUGUUGAUGAAAACCACGUGUAGCAAUAAAUAAUCAUUUUGAAGAUUGGACGCAUCGUGGUGCAUUGUGAUGCUUUGUGAUAUCGAAUUGAUUUGAAUCGUUAUCAGACCAGUUCAGAUUCGCACCCCUAGUUCUGCACACCCAUACAAUAAUAAUGUGACACCCAUACUGCCCCUGCUCAGUUGUUGACAUUCCUUAAAAAUAGUAAUGGAAAAAAAAAUGAGAAAGUUACUUAUAAGUAUAGCGGGUGGUUACUGACGUGUCCUCAUUUUGUCCAUGUCGAUAUGAUUUGAAGCUCAUCCUACACAACCAGCCCCAUCUGUUUCUUAAAGUGCUCAUAUUCUGCUUUU